CCCCUAGAUGUCCUGGGCCGCACGCGCGCUACACUGAACAGUUCAACAAGUCUUAACCUUGGCCGAUAGGUCUGGGUAAUCUUUGAACGCUGUUCGUGAUUGGGAUAGACCUUUGCAAUUAUGGGUCUUCAACGAGGAAUUCCUAGUAAACGCAAGUCAUCAGCUUGCAUUGAUUACGUCCCUGCCCUUUGUACACACCGCCCGUCGCACCUACCGAUUGAAUGGUCCGGUGAAAUCUCGGGACGGCGGCUUGGUCGCUUGCGUCCGACUGCUGAAACUUGAUUAAACCAUAUCAUUUAGAGGAAGGUGAAGUCGUAACA
Molecule: ribosomal RNA, 320 nt
Filed under: uncultured eukaryote
Lineage: Eukaryota
Description: partial 18S ribosomal RNA
Rfam family: Eukaryotic small subunit ribosomal RNA
Source: RNAcentral